AUCUAGUAUAUUAAGAGAUUA
Molecule: non-coding RNA, 21 nt
Filed under: Caenorhabditis elegans
Lineage: Eukaryota; Metazoa; Nematoda; Chromadorea; Rhabditida; Rhabditidae
Source: RNAcentral